GAUAACCUGCCUGUAUGACCGGGAUAACAGUUGGAAACGACUGCUAAUACCGGAUAGGCAGAGAGGAGGCAUCUCUUCUCUGUUAAAGUUGGGACACAACGCAAACAGAUGGAUCUGCGGUGCAUUAGCUAGUUGGUGAGGUAACGGCCCACCAAGGCGAUGAUGCAUAGCCGGCCUGAGAGGGCGAACGGCCACAUUGGGACUGAGACGCGGCCCA
Molecule: ribosomal RNA, 217 nt
Filed under: uncultured Bacillota bacterium
Lineage: Bacteria; Bacillati; Bacillota
Description: uncultured Firmicutes bacterium partial 16S ribosomal RNA
Rfam family: Bacterial small subunit ribosomal RNA
Source: RNAcentral